AUGGGGGGCACCCACAGUCCCUUUAAACCGCCUCCCCGCCCCCCCCCCCCGGUGUCUGCCAACCUUUUCCGAACCCCCGUGUCACAGAACUUCCUCAUCAUGGAAACUUCCACUCGGUUCGGCGCUAAGGAUGCCAAACUCCAUUUCACAAGGAGCCUGUCAACAGCUGGGCUUGGGGGUUUGAGGAACAGAGCGGCUGCGAUUGGAGGGGGCCCCCAGACACCCUGCUCCGCCACUGCCCACGCUGGGGCUCCCCGACUGCCGCCGCGCGGUGCCGGAGCACGAGGGGCACCUCCUCCCGGACCCGGGGUGCAGAAGCCCCGCGGAGGCAGCUUCUUGCGAGCAUCCCACGGAAGAGGGCGAGGAGCCACCACUCUGGCUAGCCACAACUGUCCAGAAAUUCGGGAACUGCUGCCUGCGCCUGGACGCACGGUGUUUCAGGUGCUUCCAGAGAGAAAAGUCGCAGACCCCAAGGCUCCCUGGCGAGAGGGAGGGGCCUCCCCGUCAGAAUCCACGGACCUUAAAUCCCCUCGGUUCUUGGCGAUAAAUCCUUGCUGUAGUUUAUUUUUCACUCGUGAUAAGGCUAUAUACCAUAGGCUUUGCAGGUUUUGUAGCUGCAUAGAAGUUGUUCUCCCUUGCAGGGAAGUUCCUGGGCUCUGCUCCAAUGCUGCCCCGGGAUGUUUUGGUUGCUUUGGAGGAAAGCUGUGGAGUCUGCACCGUUUGUUCCAAAUAGGCGGCCCCCUGGUGGCUAACUGUGGGUGAAAAAUCAGGCCACUGAGGAAAAAGCUUGGCUUUGACAGGCCACUACAGUUGACAGCCGGGUCUGCGCAGGGGCUAUUGAGACAUGCGAACGACUUUGUAAUGGGGGGGAGGGGAGGGGUGGAGUGGGCGGGGCAUGAUGCGAGUCUUCCUUCACAAAGGUGAAUAAUAGGCCCUGAAGCCUAAUGGGACUUUGAAUUUUUUUUCCUCUUCCUGAGUGUAACUUGGAGCUAGAUUCCAUCUUAAGAAGGAAAACAUCACACGGAGAAUGAAGUAUAACAAACACUGUUGCUCCCCUUUGUUCAAAUGGCUUUGCUUUUCUGAUCUCAUUUUGCCUGGAAACUUUUGAAAUAAAAAGUAAAUUACAACAUUAAAUAAAUAACA
RNAcentral lists this long non-coding RNA (1143 nucleotides) under Felis catus (domestic cat). Its description in RNAcentral is "lncRNA (ENSFCAG00000043205.2)". The record is from RNAcentral. Lineage: Eukaryota; Metazoa; Chordata; Mammalia; Carnivora; Felidae.